CAAAAUUAGAAUUAAACACAAAGGGGAAAAAUUGGUCACUUAAAAUGCCAAUUUUUCCCCUUUGUUUUUAGUCCAUUUUUUU
Non-coding RNA from Cinara cedri, 82 nucleotides. The record is from the annotation of a GenBank genome assembly. Lineage: Eukaryota; Metazoa; Arthropoda; Insecta; Hemiptera; Aphididae.